RNAcentral lists this ribosomal RNA (484 nucleotides) under uncultured bacterium. RNAcentral describes it as "partial 16S ribosomal RNA". The stretch from base 51 to 484 matches the Rfam family "Bacterial small subunit ribosomal RNA", at positions 39 to 507 of the family's 1533-position model. The record is from RNAcentral.
GGGGGGGGGGGGGGGGGGGGGGGGGGGGGGCGGGGGGGGGGGGGGGGGGGGGGGUGGGCCUGGGUGGAGCGGCGGGGGGGGGAGGAAGGCCUAGGAGUCUGCCUGGUAGUGGGGUAGCACGUCUGGGAACGGGAUCUUAUACCGCAGAGGUGCUGAGGUAGAAAGUUGGGGAUCUUCGGACCGCACUGUAUCAUAUCAGCCUAGCUCGGGUUAGCUUGGUGGUGGGGUAAAGUCCUACCGAGGCGUCGAUCCGUAGCUGAUCUGAGAGGAUGAUCAGUCACACUGGAACUGAGACACGGUCCAGACUCCUACGGGAGGCAGCAGUGGGGAAUAUUGGACAAUGGGCGAAAGCCUGAUCCAGCCAUGCCGCGUGUGUGAAGAAGGUCUUCGGAUUGUAAAGCACUUUAAGUUGGGAGGAACAACAGUAAGUUAAUACCUUGCUGUUUUGACGUUACCAACAGAAUAAGCACCGGCUCACUUCGUG